GACGAACGCUGGCGGCGUGCUUAACACAUGCAAGUCGAGCGGUAAGGCCCUUUCGGGGGUACGACGAGCGGCGAACGGGUGAGUAACACGUGGGUGACCUGCCCUUACGCUCUGGGAUAAGCCUGGGAAACGUGGGUCUAAUACCGGAUAUGACCUCAUGACUCAUGUUGUGGGGUGGAAAGCCUUGUGCGGCUAGGGAUGGGCCCGCGGCCUAUCAGCUUGUUGGUGGGGUAAUUGCCACCAAGGCGACGACGGGUAGCCGGCCUGAGAGGGCGACCGGCCACACUGGGACGUGAGACACGGCCCAGACUCCUACGGGAGGGCAGCAGUGGGGAAUCUUGCGCAAUGGGCGAAAGCCUGACGCAGCGACGCCGCGUGAGGGAUGACGGCCU
Molecule: ribosomal RNA, 392 nt
Filed under: uncultured bacterium
Lineage: Bacteria
Description: bacterial SSU rRNA
Rfam family: Bacterial small subunit ribosomal RNA
Source: RNAcentral